GUCGUUGUAGUAUAGUGGUAAGUAUUCCCGCCUGUCACGCGGGUGACCCAUGUUCGAUUUCUGACAACGACG
Non-coding RNA from Picea glauca (white spruce), 72 nucleotides. The record is from Rfam. Lineage: Eukaryota; Viridiplantae; Streptophyta; Pinopsida; Pinales; Pinaceae.